RNAcentral lists this ribosomal RNA (441 nucleotides) under Salmonella enterica subsp. enterica. RNAcentral's name for it is "partial 23S ribosomal RNA". It matches the Rfam family "Bacterial large subunit ribosomal RNA", at positions 454 to 796 of the family's 2925-position model. Lineage: Bacteria; Pseudomonadati; Pseudomonadota; Gammaproteobacteria; Enterobacterales; Enterobacteriaceae. The record is from RNAcentral. RNAcentral also lists the same sequence under 1 other name.
CAUCCUCCAAGGCUAAAUACUCCUGACUGACCGAUAGUGAACCAGUACCGUGAGGGAAAGGCGAAAAGAACCCCGGCGAGGGGAGUGAAAAAGAACCUGAAACCGUGUACGUACAAGCAGUGGGAGCCCCACCACUAAGCCAGUGGUGAACUCCACAUACGCAUCCUUUGCUGAGGAUACGGUUAACGGAGCGAAAGCGACGUUCAACCUCAAAAGAAGCAGAGGGGGCUUAGUGGUGGGGUGACUGCGUACCUUUUGUAUAAUGGGUCAGCGACUUAUAUUCUGUAGCAAGGUUAACCGUAUAGGGGAGCCGCAGGGAAACCGAGUCUUAACCGGGCGUUAAGUUGCAGGGUAUAGACCCGAAACCCGGUGAUCUAGCCAUGGGCAGGUUGAAGGUUGGGUAACACUAACUGGAGGACCGAACCGACUAAUGUUGAAAAA